CUAUGGACGUGAGUUCAUGGCGGAAGGAG
Molecule: non-coding RNA, 29 nt
Filed under: unclassified sequences
Source: RNAcentral